GACUUUCGAAUUCGAAAAUUGUACUAUUCUUGCUCGAUCGAUAGCUAGUGGAAUUGUGUGUGAACAUUGGCAGAGAGAAAUUUGCAUAAUUUCAUUAUUGAUCGCGUCACAAUAUGAAUCUGUUUUUGAUUGUUUUCUUUUCUUUUACGAUUAAUUGAUUAUUGUAUUAUUAAUAGGAAUUUUUGUGAAAAAGAUGAUAACGUUGCUGGUAAAUUUUUGAGGAACAGUUGCUAGUAAAUUUCUAGAGAAUUGAUUCUCGGUGAAUUUUAAACUGUUGUCAUUGAAUUGAGAGAGUAUCAAGUGUCAGUGAAUAUUCAAAAAAUUGAAAUUUUAUAUUUGAAAAGAAAGAAAAAUGAUUUAUUUUAAACUUUAUUUAUAUAUAAUAUUUUUAAUUAACAUAACAAAAAUAAUAACGGUAUCUAUAAAACGAUCACAAUGAUCAUGAUCGAUGUAUUUUUCCACGUUUCCAUUACAAAGUUAGGUUAAAAGCCGGUAUAUUAAUUUCUAUUCUCUUGGCAAUUAUAAGCGGUGAACUUAAGCACUACGUGAUUAAUGCACAUGUUAAACAAAAUCACAUUUUUUAAUGUUGACUAGAUGAUAUGUCUGGAAAAUAUUCCAUCCUACGACAAAAUGAUUUUCGACAUUACGGUUUAGAUGUCUAGUUCCAACAAGAAAGAAUGGAAAAUGAAACGUUGAAAAGGAUCUAUUCGCAACAGGGAGGCGAGUUACGAUCAAUUGAUUCGUGUCGUCGAAUUAAUCGGUAAACGAACGAUAAAAGGCUUAUCUAAAAUUGCGAAUGAAAUCAGAUUAACGAGCUCUGCGGGAGACAUUGCGAUCAGUCCGCAGUUAGAUUAAAUCGGCUAGACAUCCAUUACUGGCGCGUCACGAGAAAAGGGGUGAGAAACGGAAAGGAGAAGAGGAGACGAUCCGUCUCGACGGCUUUAAACGGAUAGGAAGUUCGAAGCGGAUAGACUUUGGGAGAAGACACACGCAUUUCUAGGAAAAAAUAUAAAGCACUAAGUCACCGAUGACCCAAUAAUCUCUACAUCGUCUUAAUCGCUAUGGACAUUUUAAAUUCUUAUAUCUCUACAACCGAUUAAGAUAUCGAGAUGAAACAAAAAAAGACUUCAAUGGCACCGUUUCUUCUAUUUUCUCAGAUGCGAUGCGAAUAGGAUAUCAUUAAUGGAUCAUCGAGGGUGUGUCGGACGUUCGUAAGAAGGACGACAACCGGCGACAAACGGCCGUGCGCGAUGGAUACGCGUGAGGACGCGAUUAAUGGAUGUUAAGUGCGUUAUAAUGAUGUCGCCGUCGGGCAAAUUCGAGUCUCGUAAAAUAGCUUGUCGGAGAUUCGUGGAUUCUCCACGCGUAUUCUGCCGAGGUCUCGACCAAUAAUUCAAUGACGAUUGAUCCGUGCGUCCCAUCGAUGCCGCCAGAAAAUCUAAUACGCCAGUCAAUCUUUCGCCCUCGGAGAUUGAUGAACUGGGAUUUAUCUUUGUUCGCAGUGAAUCCGAAUAUAUUAUCUCCAAACCUAUUUACGGAAUUAUUCAGUAAUAAAAUUACUGAAUAAUAAAAAAUAAUAAUAAUUCGAGGUUUAAAAUGUGUUUGAAAAUGAGUUAUUAAUAAAUAUGUAAAAAAAAAAAAAAAUAAAAUAUCAAAUAUUCAAUAUUCGAAUUUCUGUCAAUUAAAAAAAAUUAAUUUAAUUUAAAUCGAAUCUUCUUAAUCAAUAAUAUUUUUUGUAAUAAGAAAAGUUUUUUUUUAAAAUAUAAAAUCAAAUGUGCUUAAUUGGAAUACUUUGCACGUACAACGAGAACAUGUAUUUACAUGUGAUUGAACACAAUGAUUUCAGAAAAGAGAUAAACGAAUGUUGUUAACGCGUGUUCUACACGAGGGUUACGAUAAUUUACCAGAGUCUCUUUCGUCAUUAUGAUAAUCAAAUAGGAGUGAACAUGUCCCACUAAUUAAAUUGCCAACACGCGUAAGAUGCACUUGGAUAUCGGUCAUCGAUUAUCCGUGUACCGCGCAAUUAAUCUCGCACCAUUAUUAAUUCCUUCGUAGCCAAUGACCCCCUCUUCUAUGACAUCUUACAUAACUUAAUCUGACAGUUCUAUUCCUUAUAGAUUUAAUAGACUAACGAAUAUAAUUUUCAUAUCAAAAAUUAAUAAAAUAUAUUUUUGUCAUAUUUUUAAAAAGAGUAAAAUUGAUUAAAGAAAAGAAAAGGAAGAAAUAUAAAUAUAAAUGUUAAAAAUAAUAUAUAUUAGAUUGGUAUUAAUAGUUCUUCAAAGCUUUUCUUGGUACAUAUAAGAAAUCCUGAAAACAUACUUGGUGUUCUAUAUUCCUCAAAAUAAGAUUCAGUAAUAUUCUUCUUUUGUGAUAAGUUCUUUAAUAUUUUUCCUUAUCAAUUUCUUUAAUAUCUAAUAUAUAAUAUUCAUAUUAUACAAAUCCCAUGACACAUCCCAUUCUUUUUCAUUAUUUUUCUUUCUUCUCCUAUUUCAAUUUCCUCAAAGCAAUAACCUUGAUAUUUUUCAUCUAUAAUAAAAUAAACUCUUCUACAAAUUUUCUUCUCACAGCUAUAUAUUUAAACUAAUAUUUAUAUUUUUAUAUUUUCAGAUUUUCUCCAAAAGUCAUCACCACACACGUUACCUUUUUCUUUUUCUCUUUUUCCUUUUUAUACUUUUUUCUCCCUUUCUAUAUUUUUGCUUCCCCCCCUUUCUUUCUUUCUUUCUUCCUUUCUUCCUUCCCCUUCAAUCUCCAACUUCCCCUCCUCCUUCCUUUAACCCCUUUGCUCGCUGCUUAAAUGCAAGCAUCACUUGCACGCGGCACGAGUCAAACAGACGCGUUUUACGCGUAAUUUAACCCAAGCCUCGUGAAAACGGCCGACGACGACACACAACCGUGUUUCCACGCCCUUUGUACGCCCUCCGCUGCUCUGGACGUCGACGCGACUUUGACUCCACGGAGGCGGACACGUAGACAUCCCCUUAUCCCCUUUGGAGCCAACAAAGCCACGAGAUCCAUAGGACUUCGGCCUGGAUAUACACGUAUCUGCGAGCUCUGAUGGCUAGAGUCACGCGCCUCGAAUAAAAUACUAUCCCGUCGAGACCGUUACUUCUACCGCGUAACGUUUUCCGCUUGUGUGUCCUUCCACCAUGUUUUAUUUAUAAAGACCGCGAGGAUUUUUCUCGAAGAUCGGGAAGACGCCGAAUGGAAUGAGACUUAAGCUUGAUUUGCUGGAAAUCGAGGUCUGGAAAUAGAGGAAUUUUACGCUCGGCGGAUUUUUCGCGUGGUAAUAAUAGAAGAAACGAGGAGUGUGUCCUAACCUCAAAAUUGACAGAUUCAAAAUUAUGGGAAACAUUGAAAAAUUCAUUUUUGGGAUAUUGUUUUGCAACGAAUAACGAUGAAUCGAAAAUAAUAAGUCAUGUUCAUGGAACUGUUUGAUGAUAAGAAGAAAUAAACGCAAAGGAAAGAUGGAAUAAACAUAAAUUGUCGAAUAAUAGGAGUGAUUGAUCGAAUAAAAAAUCUUUUACUUUCUUCCUCUGUUUCUCUUAUAUUACAAAAUUCUUUCCUUCGUGAAAAAUUCACGAAAUCGCCUGGAAGUUUCAAUCGACUGUUUCUCAAUUCUUUAAGAACAGCGUCGACAAAGAAAAUAUCUAAAUUUAUUGCAACAAGAACUAUUUAGAAUCAAAAUGAAACAGAAUAUUCGAUCAUCAAAAGUCUUUGAAGAAAAUAAUCAGAUAUUUUCCUCCACGAAGUUAAUCAUAAAAAUUUCGCAAAAAUUUCAAAUCGAAUAUCAUUUCUAUUAAGUAGAUAUAAUUCGUCUUCAUUUCAGAACGGGUUAAUGUUCCUUUCUUGAUUCCAACAAGGUAUCCGGGACAGAUGUUUGCCAUCAAUCAAGGUGUAUGUAACGAUUAAUCCAUCACGUAUAUCAUCGCACUGCGAGAAUUGUCGGGAAGAUUAUAAGAGACUUCUAUCAUGACACACGCUUGAGACACAACUGCGAAGAUCAAAUUACCUCAUCUUUCACGUAUAUCUCACGUUAUUUCUUAUAAUGGCGAUGAUAAAAUUGGAAAAUUGAACAAUUUCGAAGAAGGUUAAACGCUUUAAAAAGUUAAAAAAGAUUUAAGAAAUUUAUUUUUAUAUCUUUUAAAAAUUUGAUAGAUGAUGUAAAUAUUGAAAGUUGUAUUAAGAACGCAUUAAAAAAGCGAGAUAAAAAUAAUCCAUGGAGCAUAGUGUUGCUCAAACUAUACAAUCUUCAACUAUCAUCUAUAAUAUCUUAUCAAGAGUUAUAGAAAAUCAAAGAGUUACAACAAUUUCUAGAAACUUUUGACAAAUAAUUGGAAAUAAAUUGAGGCAACGAUAUCUCUCGAGAUAAAAUUUACUGUGGACGAACUAAAGAAGGAAAUAUAAAAGAACGGAAGUUUGAUCGUGUCGCUUAAUUAAAAAUCAAGAUCGUGUGAAACGAUAUUCCUUUCGGAAUACUUGGCGCGAAUUGCGAACUUUUUAUGGCUCGUGAAAAUGAAACUAAGUUUUUUUAUAUCGAAAUGAAGAUAUGCCUUCGUAAACUUGGCCAAUCGCGACAAAAAGAUUUAAAUAUUCAUGGAAAAAAAAAAGAAAUCAUAAACUCAAAGAAAAAGAUAAGUAUCGUUAUUUCAUACUUGUUAAAAUUAAUUUCUCGAUAUUGUUUAUAGGAUGAUUUGAUGGACAAUUAUGCAUUUUAACACAUUCAAUAUCAUACCAAAAAUCUAAUGAAAUUCAGAACAAACAUGUUACAUAAUAUAUACAACAAUACUUGUACCAUGCAAAAGAAAAUGAAGAAUUCAUGCCAAGAAAGUAGAAAAUCUUGGAAACAAAAAAAAAUAUGCCCAAAACGUUCAAUCUCUAACAAACAUCGUAUUUGAUACGAUAUAUCAACUGUUCCAAUACUCAUACUACGUAUUUCAAGAAGUAUUUUCCUUUUUAAAAAAGUAGAGCCACUUGAACCUCCUUUCCGCACAAAGUAACUCGUUUCGAGUUGUUGGCAAAUUGAAAUCGAUCGAAUCCUCCCCCUUUUCUCCCGGUAUUCCUUUUUACACCACACUCUGAUUCAAUUUCGAGAACAGAUGCAAUCGCUUAGAAGAAGAGACGGGACCAGGGAAUGGGGCUGAGAAGCGGAGCAAGGAGUGGAAACUAUUUUUCCGGAUGAAUCACGAGCAUGGAGGUUAGACGCUCUCUGGUGUAAACCAUUAACGCUCGAUUAGAAACGUAUCUUUCGUAAAAUUAUCCUUUCCGGUCUUGACUUUGGUGUACCGCCUCCGGAUGAGCUGUUUGGCUCUGUUGGAUACUUCUUGCCCAUUCUUUUUCUCAUCCGGAUACUUUUAUUCGUUCAAGGAUGCGUCACAAAUCUUAGAAAAGAAUAAGAUUUUCAUCAUUGGAAAAUUAUUGAAACAGAAAGUUAAUAAUAAUAUUUAAAAUUAUCAUUUGAGUAUUGAUAAUAUAAAAGAAAGAAGAAACUUUUCAUGAAAUUCUAUGUUAUUAUUUAAGAUUUGGAACUGAUAAUUAGAAGGUGAAUUCAUGGAUUAGCUUCAAUAAUCUUAAUCUUUAAGCCUAAUGAGUGAUUGAUCGAAUUGGCAGAGUUAGAAGGCUAAGUUUUGCUUCCAAAUAGUGUUCACGGAUAAUCCAUGAGAUCCUUAAAUUCUAAAUGUAUUUAUCACAUGCUCGAGUAAAUCGUUUUUCACAUCUCAUCGCAAAUUGAUUGAACUCUAAAAUGCUUAUAAGAAGAAAAAAUAAUGAAUCAUCGUACUCGAAAAUGAAAAACCAGAAUAUAACAUAAAAUAUUUAAGUGAGAUAUUUACAUUUACAAAAUUUUUAAAACGGGAUUAUAGUAAUUUCAACUAAUAAAUUGGAAUAAUUACAUAUUCCAUAUUAUUAUAAUAUUCACGGCUGAAGAAGAAUCCAUGAAAGGAUUAAAACAUACAGAUCACCGAUGGAGAAACGAUUGUUUGAAUCUAAUUUCUCAUAAAUCUAUCGCAAAAACCUCGUCACAAAUCAAAUCAUUCAAAUCUCCUUUUAAGCUUUUUAAGCAAGAAAACCAUUCCAAUAAUCAAACGCACUUUUCCAUCAAAGCAAAGGCCAUGUGUCCAUUGACCAAUAUCGAAAUCUAUCCCUAAAUUCAACUAGGUUUCCAGGCCAGGCGUAAUUCCGGCCUUCGGUAUAAUGAGAGUGGCCGUAAUUUCGGAGGGUAAGCCGGCUUUCCAUUUGCCAGGAACUCACUCUCUACCCACAAUCUCCUUCGGCCACGGUAUCUCGCUGUCCGUUACGAUUCGAAGAAAGGAACAGUGGAUGGAACCGAACGCGAGUGAUAUCCAGAGACUAUUGAAUGACCUUAAUCCAAUUUCGAUUGGACCUUCAACUAAGGUCCACGAAAUCAGCUGCUGUCUCACACAAGUGGAUGAAAUUUGAGAUAAUGUGGCUCUGCCUAUGAUGAAAUAUGAUUGCAAUUUUAUAUUCUAGUUUUUCUAUCUUCUAAUAAGUAUAUUCUAUUCUUCUAGGAAUAUAUUAACAGGAAUAUUAUACAGGAGUAUAGUAUACCAUUGUAUCGAGAUCUUUGUGCCUAUUACAAGAAUCCUAUAAAUAUAUUAACAUUAUUAGAUAGAAAUAUGUGAUAUGUAUUGAGUAUAGUAUGUAAAAAUUGAAGAAAAAACGAGUUAAUCAAAUCCAUGUCUUUCAAGUCCAUAAGAUAAAAUUCUAUCCUUUAUGAUACUCUUUAAUUUUCUUAUUCGUUUUUAUUUAUAAUUGGCAUGGAAAUUCGAUAUUACAAUGUUAUAUAAUAUUAUAAUGCUACAUUUUAAUAUAGUGUAUCUAGUUUUCUAGGUAAGGUAUCUAGUAUUUAAUAAAAAACAUAUAGAAUUGGACAUACAAAAAUAUUCUUUGAGAUAUAUUUAUUAAAUUAUAAUCAAAGUUAAUAAAAAAAAACUAAAAUAUUAAUAUGCAAAAAUCUAGAAAAAUGCAUACGAUAUGCAAAAAGGACAUAAAUUGUAUCCAAAACAAGUUACAGAUUAUAAUAAUUAAAGAAACGGAUCUUCA
Molecule: long non-coding RNA, 7059 nt
Organism: Apis cerana (Asiatic honeybee)
Lineage: Eukaryota; Metazoa; Arthropoda; Insecta; Hymenoptera; Apidae
Source: RefSeq, a predicted model, not a curated record